RNAcentral lists this ribosomal RNA (1208 nucleotides) under uncultured bacterium. RNAcentral describes it as "bacterial SSU rRNA". It matches the Rfam family "Bacterial small subunit ribosomal RNA", at positions 92 to 1274 of the family's 1533-position model. The record is from RNAcentral.
AAACUGGCGAACGGGUGAGUAACGCGUAGGUAACCUACCCUUAAGCUCGGGAUAACCCACCGAAAGGUGAGCUAAUACCGGAUAAUAUCUUUCCUCAUAAGGGGUAAAGAUCAAAGGUGGCUUCGGCUAUCACUUAUGGAUGGGCCUGCGUCCGAUUAGCUAGUUGGUAGGGUAACGGUCUACCAAGGCAAUGAUCAGUAGCUGGUCUGAGAGGGCGAUCAGCCACAUUGGGACUGAGAUACGGCCCAGACUCCUACGGGAGGCAGCAGUGGGGAAUUUUGCGCAAUGAGCGAAAGCUUGACGCAGCAACGCCGCGUGAUCGAAGAAGCUCUGCGGAGUGUAAAGAUCUGUCAUAGGGGAAGAUAAGUCCCGUUAUUAACACCAUCGGGAUGCGACGGUACCCUAUAAGAAAGCCCCGGCUAACUUCGUGCCAGCAGCCGCGGUAAUACGAGGGGGGCAAGCGUUGUCCGGAUUUAUUGGGCGUAAAGAGUUCGUAGGCUGGUUGGUCAGUCGAAAUUGAAAUCCCACGGCUUAACCGUGGACCCGGUUUUGAUACUGCCAAUCUUGAGUGAGGUAGAGGUAAGCGGAAUUCCUGGUGUAGCGGUGAAAUGCGUAGAUAUCAGGAGGAACACCAAAGGCGAAGGCAGCUUACUGGACCUAUACUGACGCUGAGGAACGAAAGCGUGGGGAGCAAACAGGAUUAGAGACCCUGGUAGUCCACGCCGUAAACGAUGAGUACUUGGUGGUGGGGGAAUCGACCCCUUCACUGUCGGAGCUAACGCGUUAAGUACUCCGCCUGGGAACUACGACCGCAAGGUUGAAACUCAAAGGAAUUGACGGGGACCCGCACAAGCGGUGGAUUAUGUGGUUUAAUUCGAUGCAACGCGAAGAACCUUACCUGGACUUGACAUGUUAGUGAAACAUUGGUGAAAGCCAAAGCCUCUGCGAGCUUGCUCAAGGACACUAUCACAGGUGAUGCAUGGCUGUCGUCAGCUCGUGUCGUGAGAUGUUCGGUUAAGUCCGAUAACGAGCGCAACCCCUAUCCUUAGUUGCCAGCACGUAAUGGUGGGGACUCUAGGGAAACUGCCCGGAUAACCGGAAGGAAGGUGGGGUCGACGUCAAGUCAGUAUGUCCCUUACGUUCAGGGCUACACACGUAAUACAAUGGGGAGUACAGAGGGUAGCAAUACUGCGAAGUGGAGCCAAUCC